UACGGAGGGUGCGAGCGUUGUCCGGAAUCACUGGGCGUAAAGGGUGCGUAGGUGGCGGGGUAAGUCAGGUGUGAAAUUUCGGAGCUCAACUCCGAAACUGCAUUUGAUACUGCCUUGCUUGAGGACUGGAGAGGAGACUGGAAUUCACGGUGUAGCAGUGAAAUGCGUAGAUAUCGUGAGGAAGACCAGUGGCGAAGGCGGGUCUCUGGACAGUUCCUGACACUGAGGCACGAAGGCCAGGGGAGCAAACGGG
This 253-nucleotide ribosomal RNA is filed under the name uncultured bacterium. RNAcentral describes it as "partial 16S ribosomal RNA". It matches the Rfam family "Bacterial small subunit ribosomal RNA", at positions 524 to 776 of the family's 1533-position model. The record is from RNAcentral.